CGUGUAGGCUGUUGAGUAAGUCAGAUGUGAAAGCCCUAGGCUCAACCUAGGAAGUGCAUUUGAAACUACUCAGCUAGAAUAGAGGAGAGGAAAGUGGAAUUCCUGGUGUAGAGGUGAAAUUCGUAGAUAUCAGGAGGAACACCGGUGACGAAGGCGGCUUUCUGGCCCUUAACUGACGCUGAGACGCGAAAGCGUGGGGAGCAAACAGGAUUAGAUACCCUGGUAGUCC
This 229-nucleotide ribosomal RNA is filed under the name uncultured bacterium. Its description in RNAcentral is "partial 16S ribosomal RNA". It matches the Rfam family "Bacterial small subunit ribosomal RNA", at positions 568 to 796 of the family's 1533-position model. The record is from RNAcentral.